UCUGGCUGGUCGAAGAUACCAGGCCGCUGCGACUGUUUAUUAAAAACACAGCACUCUGCAAACACGAAAGUGGACGUAUAGGGUGUGACGCCUGCCCGGUGCCGGAAGGUUAAUUGAUGGGGUUAGCGCAAGCGAAGCUCUUGAUCGAAGCCCCGGUAAACGGCGGCCGUAACUAUAACGGUCCUAAGGUAGCGAAAUUCCUUGUCGGGUAAGUUCCGACCUGCACGAAUGGCGUAACGAUGGCGGCGCUGUCUCCACCCGAGACUCAGUGAAAUUGAAAUCGCUGUGAAGAUGCAGUGUAUCCGCGGCUAGACGGAAAGACCCCGUGAACCUUUACUGUAGCUUUGCACUGGACUUUGAGCCUGCUUGUGUAGGAUAGGUGGGAGGCUUUGAAGCGUGGACGCCAGUUCGCGUGGAGCCAUCCUUGAAAUACCACCCUGGCAUGCUUGAGGUUCUAACUCUGGUCCGUGAUCCGGAUCGAGGACAGUGUAUGGUGGGCAGUUUGACUGGGGCGGUCUCCUCCUAAAGAGUAACGGAGGAGUACGAAGGUGCGCUCAGACCGGUCGGAAAUCGGUCGUAGAGUAUAAAGGCAAAAGCGCGCUUGACUGCGAGACAGACACGUCGAGCAGGUACGAAAGUAGGUCUUAGUGAUCCGGUGGUUCUGUAUGGAAGGGCCAUCGCUCAACGGAUAAAAGGUACUCCGGGGAUAACAGGCUGAUACCGCCCAAGAGUUCAUAUCGACGGCGGUGUUUGGCACCUCGAUGUCGGCUCAUCACAUCCUGGGGCUGAAGCCGGUCCCAAGGGUAUGGCUGUUCGCCAUUUAAAGUGGUACGCGAGCUGGGUUUAGAACGUCGUGAGACAGUUCGGUCCCUAUCUGCCGUGGACGUUUGAGAUUUGAGAGGGGCUGCUCCUAGUACGAGAGGACCGGAGUGGACGAACCUCUGGUGUUCCGGUUGUCACGCCAGUGGCAUUGCCGGGUAGCUAUGUUCGGAAAAGAUAACCGCUGAAAGCAUCUAAGCGGGAAACUUGCCUCAAGAUGAGAUCUCACUGGGAACUUGAUUCCCCUGAAGGGCCGUCGAAGACUACGACGUUGAUAGGCUGGGUGUGUAAGCGUUGUGAGGCGUUGAGCUAACCAGUACUAAUUGCCCGUGAGGCUUGACCAU
RNAcentral lists this ribosomal RNA (1163 nucleotides) under Pseudomonas aeruginosa E2. RNAcentral's name for it is "bacterial LSU rRNA". It matches the Rfam family "Bacterial large subunit ribosomal RNA", at positions 1768 to 2925 of the family's 2925-position model. Lineage: Bacteria; Pseudomonadati; Pseudomonadota; Gammaproteobacteria; Pseudomonadales; Pseudomonadaceae. The record is from RNAcentral.